RNAcentral lists this transfer RNA (72 nucleotides) under Chaetosphaeridium globosum. Its description in RNAcentral is "tRNA-Arg". It matches the Rfam family "tRNA". From Rfam's summary of the family: Transfer RNA (tRNA) molecules are approximately 80 nucleotides in length. Their secondary structure includes four short double-helical elements and three loops (D, anti-codon, and T loops). The record is from RNAcentral. Lineage: Eukaryota; Viridiplantae; Streptophyta; Coleochaetophyceae; Coleochaetales; Chaetosphaeridiaceae.
GCGUCCAUCGUUCAAUGGAUAGGACAGAGGUCUUCUAAACCUCCAAUAUAGGUUCGAGCCCUAUUGGACGUA